UGUCAACAAAAUAACAAGACAAUACCUUAAAACACCCUUAUUUCACACCACUAACAAUAAACAGAUAACAAUCUGUCAGGCAUUCAGAGCUAAACAGGGUACUGAUUAUCUAGGGGUAGAUAAGGCUACUGAUGGGGUCCUAGAGAUAAGGCUGUGUGGAAUAAGAUAUAAGGCUUUUGAUUGGCUAUUGCACUGAGGAAGUUAUCUUUUUGAAAACAACAACUUUUGAAAAACAAGCUGGUGUCAGCAACUGAAUAUUGAGCUAAAUUUAAUUCAGCAACAUUAAUAUAAAGAAGUGAAAGACUUAUAAUGGUAGUGUAAAAUGUCUUGAAAUUCUGUCAGCAUGAAGUAUUGUGUGAUGAAAACAAUGUGUUUUUUACUGCAAUGUGGAAAUCAAUAAUAAGUUGGUUGGAAAGGAGGUUGAACUGCCUGUUGUUGUUUUUGGAAUACUGAAGAACAGUUUUAACAGGUUAAACUCUUGCCACAAGGCAAAAUUGACAUCGUUGGGAAGAUCCUUUGGAAAGAAUGUGCAUCAUCGCCUGCCUGAUGUAUGGACUUUUAAACCUGGUUUUUACCCUGCACAAGCUGGCAAACUUGAGGGGAACAAGAGUGGGAAAACCUCGCCCUGUCCUUGACCAAGAAAGCUCGAUUUGUUGAGAGAUCAACUGGCAUAAGAGAUGCUCAAGAGGAGAAGGACACAAGCAGCAUCAAUGGAACAACUACAUGUCGCUCCAGCGCCCGCUUUCCAGGUCUCUACCAGCUGCUUUCCAGGUCCCUCCACCCGCCAAGAUCAGGUCUAGGUCCCUGCACUGGCUGCUUUCCAGGUCCCCUAGCGGUCAAGGUCUCUCCAGUAGCUGCUGUGCAGGUCCCAACACCGUAUGCCGUCAAGGUCCCUCCUUAAGCUGAAAUCCAGGUUCCUCAUUCCACUGCGGUUCAGGUACCUCCAACAGCUGAGAUCCAGGUCUCUGCAGCAGCUGCGGUCUAAAUACUCCACCCGCAGUGGUCCAUUGCGGUCAAACUUUUGCUUUAAAAUC
Dreissena polymorpha is the source of this 1034-nucleotide long non-coding RNA. RefSeq lists it as uncharacterized. The transcript has 3 exons. NCBI's taxonomy places the organism in Eukaryota, Metazoa, Mollusca, Bivalvia, Myida, Dreissenidae. The record is from RefSeq and is a predicted model, not a curated record.